UACGUAGGGUGCGAGCGUUAAUCGGAAUUACUGGGCGUAAAGGGCGCGUAGGCGGCCUUCUAAGUCGAACGUGAAAUCCCCGGGCUCAACCCGGGAACUGCGUCCGAUACUGGAAGGCUUGAAUCCGGGAGAGGGAUGUGGAAUUCCAGGUGUAGCGGUGAAAUGCGUAGAGAUCCGGAGGAACACCAGCGGCGAAGGCGGCAUCCUGGACCGACAUUGACGCUGAGGAGCGAAAGCUAGGGGAGCAAACGGG
This 253-nucleotide ribosomal RNA is filed under the name uncultured bacterium. RNAcentral's name for it is "partial 16S ribosomal RNA". It matches the Rfam family "Bacterial small subunit ribosomal RNA", at positions 524 to 776 of the family's 1533-position model. The record is from RNAcentral.